GGAUCAUUAUUAAAUAGACCAAUUUGGCUUUGAGACUGUAGCUGACCCCAUCAUCCAUAUGGGGUGGGGGUAUGUGCACGUUUCUCUGCCUAUUUGUUUUUUCUCCCACCUGUGCACAAUAUGUAGACAACUUGGGAUUUGAGGGGUCGUUUUACAGUCUCCUUGACUAAUAAAAAUAUCCGAGUGUCUAUGUUACAUUUUAUACAUAUACGCAUUGCAUGUGGAUGAUGGAUUUAUUAAUGAAUAAAUAAUAACUUUCAACAAUGGAUCUCUUGGCUCUCGCAUCGAUGAAGAACGCAGCGAAAUGCGAUGAGUAAUGUGAAUUGCAGAAUUCAGUGAAUCAUCGAAUGUUUGAAUGCAUCUUGCGCUCCUUGGCAGUCCUUGGAGCAUGCCUGUUUGAGUGUCAUUAAAUUUCUCAAAAUUGCUGCAACAGUAAAUUUGUUGUGGGGGUGGUUUUGGAUAUGGGAUGUGCAGGCUUUUCUUAUAAGGCCCAGCUCUCCUCAAAUGUAUGAGCAGUAUCAGUUGGUUCUUGCUUGGUGUGGUAAGAAAAUAUCAGCACGAAAAGCAGAAAGGCACCAAUUUGUCUGUUGUGUUUACAUUAAUGUGACAAAAAUUGACCUCAAAUCAGGUAGGACU
RNAcentral lists this ribosomal RNA (636 nucleotides) under Amanita japonica. RNAcentral describes it as "eukaryotic LSU rRNA". The stretch from base 253 to 406 matches the Rfam family "5.8S ribosomal RNA". Lineage: Eukaryota; Fungi; Basidiomycota; Agaricomycetes; Agaricales; Amanitaceae. The record is from RNAcentral.